UUGGAUGCCAUCCUCCUCUAGUCCUCCUCCAGAAGAGUGUAGUCCUGCUGAAAGAGCGUGGUCGGAACUGGCAUUUGUGGUGUUUAUCUGUGUUAUGACACUCGGGUUGGGAAAAGUUGUGGAGGUUUUCUUCUUUACCAUGUCGUCCAUCAUUGGCCUCAUUGCAAUUUCCCAUCUUUUUUAUCCAACGCCUGACCAUAAAUUUGAAAU
Molecule: long non-coding RNA, 210 nt
Organism: Arabidopsis thaliana (thale cress)
Lineage: Eukaryota; Viridiplantae; Streptophyta; Magnoliopsida; Brassicales; Brassicaceae
Product: other RNA
Exons: 1
Source: RefSeq